GAACGACUCUCGGCAACGGAUAUCUCGGCUCUUGCAUCGAUGAAGAACGUAGAGAAAUGCGAUACUUGGUGUGAAUUGCAGAAUCCCGUGAACCAUCGAGUCUUUGAACACAAGUUGCACCCGAAGCCAUUAGGCCGAGGGCACGCCUGCCUGGGUGUCACAC
RNAcentral lists this ribosomal RNA (163 nucleotides) under Lespedeza buergeri. RNAcentral describes it as "5.8S ribosomal RNA". It matches the Rfam family "5.8S ribosomal RNA". Rfam says of the family: 5.8S ribosomal RNA (5.8S rRNA) is a component of the large subunit of the eukaryotic ribosome. Lineage: Eukaryota; Viridiplantae; Streptophyta; Magnoliopsida; Fabales; Fabaceae. The record is from RNAcentral.